Long non-coding RNA from Ailuropoda melanoleuca (giant panda), 3471 nucleotides. RefSeq lists it as uncharacterized. The record is from RefSeq and is a predicted model, not a curated record. The transcript is spliced from 3 exons. Lineage: Eukaryota; Metazoa; Chordata; Mammalia; Carnivora; Ursidae.
UGGUAACGCGCAGCCGCACGCUCGCGGCCCGCCCGCGAUGCCGCCACGCCGGCGGCUGGACCGCGAGCCCCGGGACCCGAACGGCCGCCUGCCAGCUGCCCGAAAAGCUAGAGUCCAAGGCGAGGCGACGAGGCCGUGCCCCGCGGGGACCAGAGGGCGCUGGCGGCGCGCAGGUGCUCGGAGAGGAGCGGGCUUCCCGGAAGGCGAGUGCCCAUCGGCCUCGGGGACCCGGGAGGGGAUGAGGAGGGAGGCAGAACGAACCCGCAGACGAAGCCGAGCGCGGCUGCUGUGGCCCGCGUCACCGAAGGGCAUGCGCCCCUCACCCAAAAAGAAGCCGACCACGAAGGGACUCGAACCCUCAAUCUUCUGAUCCGAAGUCAGACGCCUUAUCCGUUAGGCCACGCGGCCGUGACGCCCAGGGGGGCCGCAGUGCGCAGGCCAGGUGUAGCCCCCUCGGAGGUGGCGGCCCCGGCGUCGCGGGCAGGAGACGACCGCGGGCGCCGGACCCCAGGGUGCGUCACGGGUGUGCCAGGACCAGAGCCAGGGUGAAAUCCUUGUGGCAGCGUCAAUGCUAGUGUAGCUGGAGGUCGUGAAAUAGGUAUCCCGGCACCGCUAACCACGUAAGGGGACCGCGUGGCCUAAUGGAUAAGGCGUCUGACUUCGGAUCAGAAGAUUGAGGGUUCGAGUCCCUUCGUGGUCGAUAUGUUUUAAUCCUGAAGAGAUACUAGCACAAACUCUACCGCAACGGAAUCCUACGCUCUACCCUUGUUUUAGGCACAGGCGGGCCUCCGUACCCCUUCCUGACUAUAGCCCCUUUACCUGAGGCUGAUUGUGAGGGCUCCCGUCCAAUCGAGUUUUGCACCUGGGAGCUUCCGGGCCUGACGUAAUUACGCAGCCACACGGCCUCACAUUUCAAGAGACAUGUGAUCCGGCGCCGUUUGCGUGAAGCCCCAGUGGCCUAAUGGAUAAGGCACUGGCCUCCUAAGCCAGGGAUUGUGGGUUCGAGUCCCAUCUGGGGUGAGGUGAUUUAAUAGAGGAGGUGCUUUUUUGUAUCCCCUCUCAAGUAAAAACAAAUAUCAUACGGCGAAAUUUUUUUUCAUACCUUUGUGUGUGUGUGUGUGUGUGUGUGUGUGUGUGUGUGUGUGUGUGUGUGUGUGUGUGUAUGCCUUGUGCUGGUGAUUUGCCUUUUCUUUUUGAUCCAGCCCGACUGCAGUUUGAAAGAUAAACCUAUGAUAGGGCAAACGCGGUCCCACUUCUUGUUGCCCCAGUUGGUAUCCAAACACACCUCGUGAAAGUGCUGUGCGGGCUACACAUCCACGCACGAGUGAAGCGCGCGCGUUCUCUAACCGGCACCCACCGCCCACGGCCCCUGCUAGGACGAGGAGGGGUGCACGGAAGCACGUGUGUGCACGCGCAGUGCACGGGGAACGGGGGACAACAGUGCCAGCCUCUGGUGUCAGCCCAGGCCCGGAGGAAAAAGGUGGCUCAGGAGUGCUUCAGAGGGACUAUCGGAGAGAGAAGAAACAACAAACCAAACAAACUAGAAGUACAGAACCCUCCUCUCCCUUCUCCAGCGCCAUCCAGAAUUCUUCCUGCUCUCUCUGCUCCAACCAGUCACCAAGUUUUAUGGACGCCGCUUUAAGCCAUCCCUGGCUCCCAGGCCCUGCCACGGGGCUGCAGCAUCACGGCCCUCGACUGCAGCCACUGCCUCUUCUCUGGGUUUCCAGCUUCAGAUCCCCUAAGACCAUCCUCCAGGCCCUCCGCGGAGGUUACGUUCUAGUGAGAUAGAAGGCAGUGAACAAGUCAACUGAUGAAUAGGAUGAUUUCAAAAUAAAGAGGGUCACGAGGAGUUAUUGGUUGAGUACUCGGAGGCCUCUGGGUGGUGAAGAGCAACAGCACAUUGGCAGUCCUGUCACCUUCAGAGGACUUCUUUAAUGCCUUGACUGAUAUGCUACCUAUCUCGUAGGGUUGUUGUGAGGAGUACAUGAAAUGAUUUUCAUGUCAAGCGAGUAGAACAAUGCCGGGAACACAGCAGUGCUCUGUAAGUCACGACUGUCAUUUACUAAGACUAGUUUGCCCCAUUAUUCAAGGUUUAUGAUAUUCUCCUAGCUAGAUGUGACUCCCUGAAGGCUCAAAUUUCAUCUGACUUUUCUUUUCCUUAAUUCCAUAUUAAGAUUCUUCUGAAUGCCAAGCACAGUGCUAAACCCUGGAGAGUACAAAUAUGACUAAGGUAUAAUGCUAGCACUCAACAAAUAAUCUUCUAGAACCCUCUAGAUCUUUCUAAUUCUCUAGGAUUGAUUGGGUUACUCUUAUUCUUCCAAGCAUUCUGUAAUUACUUGAUUUCUCACUGAAAUUCAUGAAAAUGAGUUUGUUUCCAAGUGCCUGCAUUUUUUUUGUAUUGUGUAAUUUAUACUUUGGCUAUUAAUUGUUGGUUUUAUGUAAUAUUUGCUCUGGAAUCAGUUGAUGUGUACUGUAGUUUUUCUCUUUUUUUUAAUUUGAAGCUUCCCUAUAGUCUGUAAUCAAUUCCCAGUUAUUGUUUGUAUGACACAGAAUUUAGUAUAUAAGCUAUUAAGUGAGCCUUUUGUUAUAGUUUGCUAUAGUUUCAUUUUGCAAAUGCCCAAAAUAGGUGUGUUAAAAUCUUUACAACUGUUAGGUUUCUAGCAAUUUUAAACUUUUUUUGCUGUAUAUAUUCUAACAUUUUUUUCAGCACGUCAAGGUUCCAAUCAUUUUUUUCAUGUCAAUUGUUCCCUUUAAAGAAUUCAAUUUGACUCACUUCACUUUUUUGUCUUGAAUUCUACCUUGCUAGAUGGUAAUAUAACUCUACAUAGUUGCCCAUCCUUUAAAAAUGUGUAUUACAAAAGUUUUCAAACAUACACAGAAACAGAGAAUAGUGAAUGAACCAACCUAGAUUUGUCAGUCAUCAGGAUUUUUUCACGUUUGCUCCAUUAAUCCAUUUAUCCCUUCAUUUUUCUGAAAUAUUUUAAAGUUAUUCCAGACAUCGCAUCAUUUCACCCCAGUAGACACUCACAUACUUCAAUAUUCAUCUCUUAAUUAUCUUUUUACAGUUGAUUGGUGCAAACCAGUAUCCAGAUAAGGUCACACACAAGAUUUGGAUGUUGGGUUUCUUCAGCCUCUUUGAACCUUAAGCUGCCCCUGCCUUCCAUCUUACCUUACCUUUUUUACCACAAGUCAAUACACCAUUGACUUGUUGAAGGACAAAGGUCAAAUGUCCUGUAUUUUGGAUUUACCUUUAUUUCACGGUGUCAUUUAACUUGUUCCUCUAUCCUAGAUAUUUCCUCUAAAUUGGAAGUUAGUUUUAAUGCCUCCGUUAAAGUCAGGUUCAACUUUUUGGGACCCCAAAACAGAGGUGCCUGGGUGGCUCAGUCAUUAAGCAUCUGCCUUCUGCUCAGGAUGUGAUCCCAGGGGUCCUGGGAUUGAGUCCCGCAUCAGGCUCCUCGGCUGGGAGCCUGC